Molecule: non-coding RNA, 922 nt
Organism: Xyrichtys novacula (pearly razorfish)
Lineage: Eukaryota; Metazoa; Chordata; Actinopteri; Labriformes; Labridae
Source: the annotation of a GenBank genome assembly
UUAUCGAUCACAAGCCAUAACCUCCUUUCUUCUGUAAAUACACAUUUUAGAUUCAGAUAAAUCCAGAUGCUGGUUUGUCUUCCCUUUUUCCCUCUGACACUUACGCCACACACACACACACACACACACACACACACACACACACACACACACACACACACACACACACACUCGAGGUUUGCUGUACUGCAUUUAAAAGGAAAAAAAAUCUCAGUCCCCUUCCUACCACAGGACACACUCUCAGAGCUGCUGCUGCCUAAUGGCUCCCUUGUCAGUUUAAAAAAGCUCUGAUGGACACCCUGUUAGGAAGUCACUGACAUUUCAGGUGAGUGAUUCCAAACACUUUCUGCUUCCUUUGACACAGCGCAUCUCCAAAUGGAAGAGCUAAAACACACUUUUCUUCUACCCUGUUGCAACAGAAAAAUUGCCUGUCCCUGCAGUCUGCCGUCCCUAAAGAGGACCAGAGAAGAAGGAAAGAGAGAAAGAAAAAGGAGGAAGGAAAGGAAGGACAAGUAGGAAAAACAAUGACAGCUCAGGGUCAUCUUUGCACCUCUGCUUUGUCUGUACCAAUCUGGCAUCAGACAGGCAGAAAACAAGAUAUUAGGGAUGCAGGUGGCAGAAACAUGCAGAUAAGCAAGCUUUUUUUUUCACCCUUCUCUCUUCAUUAAUUUUCAUAAGUUAUGUCUGUGUUUAGCCCUGGAGGCUUUGUGUGGCAUACCAUACGUUGUGAUGCUGAAUUCCAGUUCAGGUUUCCUAUCCAUGCCUUGUCAUUUUUUGCCUUUAAGUGAACCUCAUUAGCUCAUGGUUUUGAUCUUAGAAGUUAUGUACAUGGUAAGAUUUGGAGCCAAGCUUUAAAAUUCUGAUAACACUAGAGUUUGGACCACAAAUUAAAGUUGCUGUCUGCACAGAGAAGCCACCAGAG